This 264-nucleotide ribosomal RNA is filed under the name uncultured bacterium. RNAcentral describes it as "partial 16S ribosomal RNA". It matches the Rfam family "Bacterial small subunit ribosomal RNA", at positions 524 to 785 of the family's 1533-position model. The record is from RNAcentral.
UACGUAGGGUGCGAGCGUUAAUCGGAAUUACUGGGCGUAAAGCGUGCGCAGGCUGUUCUGUAAGUCAGAUGUGAAAUCCCCGAGCUCAACUUGGGAACUGCGUUUGAAACUACAGGACUAGAAUAUGUCAGAGGGGGGUAGAAUUCCACGUGUAGCAGUGAAAUGCGUAGAGAUGUGGAGGAAUACCAAUGGCGAAGGCAGCCCCCCUGGGAUAAUAUUGACGCUCAUGCACGAAAAGCGUGGGGAGCAAACAGGAUUAGACUA